Long non-coding RNA from Musa acuminata AAA Group (dessert banana), 391 nucleotides. RefSeq lists it as uncharacterized. The transcript is spliced from 3 exons. Lineage: Eukaryota; Viridiplantae; Streptophyta; Magnoliopsida; Zingiberales; Musaceae. The record is from RefSeq and is a predicted model, not a curated record.
CUUGGAUUCCUUCUUUGAGGAGAAUCCAUGUCGAAUGAUCUGACAAACACUGCACUUCUCUGAUGUGCAAAGGCUGGAAGAGCCAUUCGAGCCAAGAGAGCAGGCAAUUGCGGUGCCAUGGAACCAUCAUUUCUACUAUCUUCCUAGAGGUGUCUCCCUCCACAAGUUCGCUCACUGCAGAGAUAAUAUGAUCACAGUCCAUCAGGAUAGAUGUGAAGAAAGGAAAUAUGAGAAAUGAUUAAACCUAUCAGUUCUAUGAGGCAACAGCUGCAGAGGAUACCUGCACAUCUGUUUCAUGGGAGAACCUUGGUGCUGGAACAGCAUGAUGAACUGCAGCAACACCAUUGCCAGGCAAAGCAGGAGAGAGAGAUGAAACCCCAGAAAAGCUAGG